GACGAACGCUGGCGGCGUGCUUAACACAUGCACGUCGAACGAAGUGGCGAACGGGUGAGUAACGCAUAAUCAACCUGCCCUUCAGAGGGGGACAACAGUUGGAAACGACUGCUAAUAACGCAUACUGAAGGAGGGGAUUGCGUCUGAAUAGCUAGUUGGAGGGGUAACGGCCCACCAAGGCGAGGAUCAGUAGCCGGUCUGAGAGGAUGAAGUGCCAAAUUGGAACUGAUACACGGCCCAGACUCCUACGGGAGGCAGCAGUGGGGAAUCUUCCGGAAUGGACGAAAGUCUGACGGAGCAACGCCGCGUGAGUGAUGACGGCCUUCGGAUUGUAAAGCUCCGUUAAUCGGGACGCGGUACCGGAAUAGAAAGCCACGGCUAACUACGUGCCAGCAGCCGCGGUAGUUC
Molecule: ribosomal RNA, 408 nt
Filed under: uncultured bacterium
Lineage: Bacteria
Description: partial 16S ribosomal RNA
Rfam family: Bacterial small subunit ribosomal RNA
Source: RNAcentral